GUCCCCGUAGUGUAGCGGUUAUCAUUUAAGCCUUUCAAGCUUGAGACCUGGGUCCGACUCCCGGCGGGGGCA
RNAcentral lists this transfer RNA (72 nucleotides) under Candidatus Diapherotrites archaeon CG08_land_8_20_14_0_20_30_16. Its description in RNAcentral is "tRNA-Glu". It matches the Rfam family "tRNA". Rfam says of the family: Transfer RNA (tRNA) molecules are approximately 80 nucleotides in length. Their secondary structure includes four short double-helical elements and three loops (D, anti-codon, and T loops). Further hydrogen bonds mediate the characteristic L-shaped molecular structure. tRNAs have two regions of fundamental functional importance: the anti-codon, which is responsible for specific mRNA codon recognition, and the 3' end, to which the tRNAs corresponding amino acid is attached (by aminoacyl-tRNA synthetases). tRNAs cope with the degeneracy of the genetic code in two manners: having more than one tRNA (with a specific anti-codon) for a particular amino acid; and 'wobble' base-pairing, i.e. permitting non-standard base-pairing at the 3rd anti-codon position. Lineage: Archaea; Nanobdellati; Candidatus Iainarchaeota. The record is from RNAcentral.